GAGGCACACAGGACAGGGAAGAAGCAUAUGGCUCGGACAGGGAAGAAGCAUAUGGCUCGGCUCCAGGAACUCCAAAAGAUGUCGGAAAAACUGAAGUGACCGAUGAUGUGGGUGCAACUGUCAAUAGAAUUAAUCCCAAGGAACAAGAAGAAGCGUUCACCAUAGGGGAUAACUGAGUUAAGUCAUGUUCAGGGAAUAAUGCAUAAAUUAUGAUGUAACUUGUACAUUGGCAUGUC
This 236-nucleotide long non-coding RNA is filed under the name Nicotiana benthamiana. Its description in RNAcentral is "long non-coding RNA (NBEN_LNC027570)". The record is from RNAcentral. Lineage: Eukaryota; Viridiplantae; Streptophyta; Magnoliopsida; Solanales; Solanaceae.